GGGCCUGUAGCUCAGUUUGGUUAGAGCACUCGACUCAUAAUCGAAUGGUCGUAGGUUCAAGUCCUACCAGGCCCA
Molecule: transfer RNA, 75 nt
Filed under: Endomicrobium sp.
Lineage: Bacteria; Pseudomonadati; Elusimicrobiota; Endomicrobiia; Endomicrobiales; Endomicrobiaceae
Description: tRNA-Ile
Rfam family: tRNA
About the family: Transfer RNA (tRNA) molecules are approximately 80 nucleotides in length.
Source: RNAcentral